UUGGACAAUGAACGAAAGUUUGAUCCAGCAAUAUUACUUGAAUGAAGACGGCAAUUUUUGUUGUAAAAUUCUUUCAUUAAAAGAAGAUAAUGACUUUAUUUAAAGAAGUUAGUCCCGGCUAAUACCCGUGCCAGCAGUCGCGGUGAAACGGGAGGGGCAGGCGUUACCCAUCAUGACUGGGCGUAAAGGGUCCGUAGACAUUAAAGUAAGUUACUCGUGAAAUUAUUAAGUUAUACUUAAAAUAUACUUGUUAAUACUGCUUUAAUUGAGUUUUCUACAGAAGAGUACAAUUUGAUAAGUAGGGGUGAAAUCCGUAGAUAUAUAAAGGAAUUCCAGAAGCGAAGGCGACUCUUUAGUAAAAACUGACGUUGAGGGACGAAAGUGUAGGGAGCAAACAGGAUUAGAUACCCUGGUAGUCUACACCGUAAAUACUGAGUGCUGUAAUUUAAUGUAAAAAAAAAUUAUUUGGAUUAUUAAAGCUAACGCAAUAAGCACUCCGCCUGAGGAGUACGAUCGCAAGAUUGGAACUCAACGGAAGUGACGGGGGCUGGUUACUAGUGGUGGGGUACGUGGUUUAAUUCGAUAAUCCGCGCAAAACCUUACCAAUUUUUGACAUAGUAAAAAUAGUCUAUUUUACGUUUUGUAAAAAAAACUAAGCUACUACAGGUGUUGCACGACUGUCGUCAACUCGUGUUGUGAUAUGUUUGGUUAAUUCCAACGAAACGAGUGUAACUCUUAUCUUUAAUUAAAACAAUUUACUGUUUUUAAAAAUGAAAAUUUCUUAAAAAGCUUUAAUUGAAACUGCCAAUAAUAAGUUGGAGGAAGGUAAGAACUAAGCCAAGUCAAUGUGACCCUUAUGAAUUGGGCUACACACGUGCUACAAUGGAAAUCACAGAAAGUUACAAAAAAUAAAACUUUUUGUUAAUCUUUAAAAAUUUCCCCGGUUCGGAUUGUAGGCUGAAAUUCGCCUACAUGAAGUCGGAAUCACUAGUAAUCGCAAAUCAGAACGUUGCGGUGAAUUUGUAAACCAGCCUUGUACACACCGCCCGUCACAUGCAGAAAGCUAGUUUUACUUGAAAACUUAACUUGUUCUGGUUGAGUUGAGGGGAAGAUUGGUAAUUUGGAUGAAGUCGUAACAAGGUAUCCGU
RNAcentral lists this ribosomal RNA (1148 nucleotides) under uncultured bacterium. Its description in RNAcentral is "bacterial SSU rRNA". It matches the Rfam family "Bacterial small subunit ribosomal RNA", at positions 364 to 1503 of the family's 1533-position model. The record is from RNAcentral.